AAUUUCCGGUCUCUAUUAGAAAAUGAAUUGCUUAUGAAUUUUACUUAGUGUAAAAAUAUUAAUGGAAAGUUGGGAUUAAUUUACCAUGAUUAGAUUAUUAAGUGGGGAUUAGUGAUUAAUUAAUCUAAUUAUCGAAAAGUGGGCCCUACGACACGUGGCGAUAUUUGGUUGGACUUGAAUAAAGAUGGACACAUGUCAUGAAAAAUUGACACAUGUCCACUUUGUAAAGAUAAAAUAUAUAGGCAUAAGUGGAAGACUAAGUCAUCACUUAUACCACAAAUUAGUCUUGCAAAUUAGGUCUUAGAGAGAGGGGCUCUCAAGCCUAGAGAGAGAGAGAAGAUCGCGGGUACUGUUCCGUCCACUGUUCACGGCGGGGCUACUAUUCAUGGGCGGCGUACUGUUCACGGCGCACUAUUCACGGCGGCGCUACUGUUCACGCCGCCACUGUUCACGGCCAGCCCAUUUUUGCCCCCUUCUACACAAUUAAUUGGAGAGAUUUGAAUAUUAAGAGAAGGAAAAAGAUGGAGCUCAUGGUAGCCAUGGCUUUCUUGAAGACAUUUCAUGGUGAAAAAUUAGAGCUUGUCUCUAAGGUAAGAUUUAAUUCUUUUCUACAUGUUUUGGAGGUAGUUUAGACUUGUAUAGCUUGGUAGAUGUGUGUUGAAUACAAACGGGUUAUGUAUGUUGAUGUUGAAUUAUAAAUUGAGCCGUGUAAGGGGGGGUGUUUUGAGUAAGAAUGAUGAAUUGAUUUUAGUAGCAUUAUGGAGGAAUUAAAUGGUUAAAUUUAAAGUUGUGUUGUUUUAUGGACAUGUUGUUAUCCUUGCUGAAUUGAAAGGAUUAAGGGUAUGAUUAUGCUCAUAUGAUUAUUGUUGUUGUUAUCAUGGAUUAUGUGAUGAGAAUGAAGGAAUUUAAUGGUUAGAGUUGGAGUUAAAUUUGUUGUGGGUUGUUAUAAGGAUUAUAAUGAUAAUAAUGUGGUUUACUUGCAUAUGGAUAGAUGAUGUAGUUGUGGUGUAGCAGCUGCAGUAUUUCAUUAAAUUUGCUGAAAAGAUUGCAUGAAAUACGGUAUAAGAAGUGAAAAGGGGGCUGCUCUACGCUAGGGGGCUGUUUUCGGUCAUAGAUGGAAAAAUUGUGGAUUGUUGGAAAUAUUAUGUGAAUUGUUUAGAAUGUUCUUGGAUGUUGUUAGUAUGGGUUUGGGUUAGUAUUUGAAUGUAUAAGUGUUGAUGUUGGCUUUGAGGUAAACCGUUGAAUUGAAUAUUUGGAAAGUUGUCGUAUGGUGUAAAAAGGAGCUAUUAAUGUUAUUUUGCCUUUCGAAUUGAUUAUCGAUGUUGCUAGGUUGGUUAUUGUGGUUGUUGUUGCUGAUUUUGAGCGAGUUAAAUUCUCGGGUUAGCCUAUUUACAGGGGAAGUGCUGCCGAAUUUUCUGUAGAAUUUAGAAUUAGUUGGAAUAAAUGACUUAAGUACCUAUGGCUAAUGUUUGAUAUUCGUUGGCGUAUUCAUAGGCCUUGGGGAGCCCGAGGCGUAGGUUGGGAUUAAUUUUAGUUGGGCAAACUUGGAGCGCGUACGAGGUACAGACGCACAGUUUGGUGAUCUACCCAUUUAGGACACCCUCUUCUGCUGUUUGGAGUGCUCUUCUCAUUUCAGAGCACACAUUUUGGUAUAUAUUCGUUCACUAUGUAUAUAUGUAUUUGUUCAGGGGCACGGCGGGGCCCUGUCCCGCCAUAUGAUUCGGUUUGUCUGUUUAGAGGUCUGUAGACGUAUUUGUGGGUGUGUGUGCCUACUUCUGUACGGAUGUGUUUGCAUGACUCUAUUCGUUAUGGCAGCCUCGUCGGCGUGCAUUUUGUAUAUGUUGUGGCAGCCUUGUCGGCGUGCAUUUGUAUAUGCGUUUUGGGCCGUUGUGCCAUUUGACAGCCUUGUCGGCUUUUGACAUAUUUGAUAGCCUUGCCGGCUUUUUGACA
Molecule: long non-coding RNA, 1950 nt
Organism: Lycium barbarum (goji berry)
Lineage: Eukaryota; Viridiplantae; Streptophyta; Magnoliopsida; Solanales; Solanaceae
Exons: 2
Source: RefSeq, a predicted model, not a curated record